Molecule: ribosomal RNA, 520 nt
Filed under: uncultured bacterium
Lineage: Bacteria
Description: bacterial SSU rRNA
Rfam family: Bacterial small subunit ribosomal RNA
Source: RNAcentral
GGGAACGUACCCUUCGGUUCGGAAUAACUCAGGGAAACUUGAGCUAAUACCGGAUACGCCCUUUUGGGGAAAGGUUUACUGCCGAAGGAUCGGCCUGCGUCUGAUUAGCUUGUUGGUGGGGUAACGGCCUACCAAGGCGACGAUCAGUAGCUGGUCUGAGAGGAUGAUCAGCCACACUGGGACUGAGACACGGCCCAGACUCCUACGGGAGGCAGCAGUGGGGAAUAUUGGACAAUGGGCGCAAGCCUGAUCCAGCCAUGCCGCGUGAGUGAUGAAGGCCUUAGGGUUGUAAAGCUCUUUUGUCCGGGACGAUAAUGACGGUACCGGAAGAAUAAGCCCCGGCUAACUUCGUGCCAGCAGCCGCGGUAAUACGAAGGGGGCUAGCGUUGCUCGGAAUCACUGGGCGUAAAGGGCGCGUAGGCGGCCGAUUAAGUCGGGGGUGAAAGCCUGUGGCUCAACCACAGAAUUGCCUUCGAUACUGGUUGGCUUGAGACCGGAAGAGGACAGCGGAACUGCGAGU